ACGGGUGAGUAAUACAUAGGUAACCUGCCCCUGUGCGGGGGAUAACAGGAGGAAACUCCUGCUAAUACCGCAUAGCCAUGAGCACCGCAUGGAGCUCAUGCCAAAUAUCCUUUCGGGGACAGCGCAGGGAUGGACCUAUGGCGCAUUAGCUAGUUGGCGGGGCAACGGCCCACCAAGGCAACGAUGCGUAGCCGGCCUGAGAGGGCGGACGGCCACAUUGGGACUGAGACACGGCCCAGACUCCUACGGGAGGCAGCAGUAGGGAAUUUUCGGCAAUGGGGGAAACCCUGACCGAGCAACGCCGCGUGAGCGAAGAAGGCCUUCGGGUCGUAAAGCUCUGUUGUAAAGGAAGAACGGCGCAUACAGGAAAUGGUAUGCGAGUGACGGUACUUUACCAGAAAGCCACGGCUAACUACGUGCCAGCAGCCGCGGUAAUACGUAGGUGGCGAGCGUUAUCCGGAAUCAUUGGGCGUAAAGAGGGAGCAGGCGGCCGCAAGGGUCUGUGGUGAAAGACCGAAGCUAAACUUCGGUAAGCCAUGGAAACCGGGCGGCUAGAGUGCGGAAGAGGAUCGUGGAAUUCCAUGUGUAGCGGUGAAAUGCGUAGAUAUAUGGAGGAACACCAGUGGCGAAGGCGACGG
Molecule: ribosomal RNA, 638 nt
Filed under: uncultured bacterium
Lineage: Bacteria
Description: bacterial SSU rRNA
Rfam family: Bacterial small subunit ribosomal RNA
Source: RNAcentral